Molecule: ribosomal RNA, 402 nt
Filed under: uncultured prokaryote
Description: bacterial SSU rRNA
Rfam family: Bacterial small subunit ribosomal RNA
Source: RNAcentral
UGGGGAAUCUUGCACAAUGGGGGAAACCCUGAUGCAGCGACGCCGCGUGAGCGAUGAAGCCCUUCGGGGUGUAAAGCUCUUUCAGUAGGGACGAUUAUGACGGUACCUGCAGAAGAAGCUGCGGCUAACUACGUGCCAGCAGCCGCGGUAAUACGUAGGCAGCAAGCGUUGUUCGGAGUUACUGGGCGUAAAGAGAGCGUAGGCGGCUCGCUAAGUUUGGUGUGAAAUCUCCCGGCUUAACUGGGAGGGUGCGCCGAAAACUGGCGGGCUAGAGUGUGGGAGAGGGAAGCGGAAUUCCUGGUGUAGCGGUGAAAUGCGUAGAUAUCAGGAGGAACACCCGCGGUGAAGACGGCUUCCUGGACCACUACUGACGCUGAGGCUCGAAAGCGUGGGGAGCAAACA